GACGAACGCUGGCGGCGUGCUUAACACAUGCAAGUCGAACGGAAAGGCCCUGCUUUUGUGGGGUGCUCGAGUGGCGAACGGGUGAGUAACACGUGAGUAACCUGCCCUUGACUUUGGGAUAACUUCAGGAAACUGGGGCUAAUACCGGAUAGGAGCUCCUGCUGCAUGGUGGGGGUUGGAAAGUUUCGGCGGUUGGGGAUGGACUCGCGGCUUAUCAGCUUGUUGGUGGGGUAGUGGCUUACCAAGGCUUUGACGGGUAGCCGGCCUGAGAGGGUGACCGGCAACAUUGGGACUGAGAUACGGCCCAGACUCCUACGGGAGGCAGCAGUGGGGAAUAUUGCACAAUGGGCGGAAGCCUGAGGCAGCAACGCCGCGUGCGGGAUGACGGCCUUCGGGUUGUAAACCGCUUUCGCCUGUGACGAAGCGUGAGUGACGGUAAUGGGUAAAGAAGCACCGGCUAACUACGUG
RNAcentral lists this ribosomal RNA (468 nucleotides) under uncultured bacterium. Its description in RNAcentral is "partial 16S ribosomal RNA". It matches the Rfam family "Bacterial small subunit ribosomal RNA", at positions 28 to 507 of the family's 1533-position model. The record is from RNAcentral.